AAUAGCCUAACGGCUGAACCAGCAACUUGGGAGAAUGCGGUAUAUGUUUUUUAUAAGUAGGCAAAGCCUCGCCUAAGAACCUUCAGGGGUUCAAAGGGUUAAAAGCGUAUAUCAAUGGUUUAUCCAACUAAAUUUCUAGAUAGAAGACUGAUAAUGACAAUUUUCUAUCUAUGUGUCUUGACAAACUAACGUGCCAGCAGUCGCGGUAAGACGGUAAAGACUAGUGUUAUUCAUCUUUAAUAGGUUUAAAGGGUACCUAGACGGUGGAUCUUGCCCCUAAAAGGAACGGAUCUUACUAGAGUUUUAUGGAAGAGGUUAGAUUUAGUAUUAACGGUGGAGAGAUGAAAUUCUUUGAUACUGUUAGGGACUGGUAACGGCGAAGGCGAUCCUCUAAGUAAAAACUGACGUUGAGGGACGAAGGCUUGGGUAGCGAACAGGAUUAGAUACCCUAGUAGUCCAGGCAGAGAAUGAUGAGUGCCAUAGGUUAGAUUUAUUUUGAUCUAUAAAUGAAAGUGUAAGCAUUCCACCUCAAGAGUAAUGUGGCAACGCAGGAACUGAAAUCAUUAGACCGUGUCUGAAACCAGUAGUGAAGUAUGUUAUUUAAUUCGAUGGUCCUCGAAAAACCUUACCACAAUUUGAAUAUUAUUAAAUUAUUACAAGUGUUGCACGGCUGUCUUCAGUUAAUGUCGUGAGAUGCAGGUUAGCUCCAUAAAUUAACGUAAACCCUUGCUUUAUUUUUUAUAUAUAGCAGUUCUCUAAUACAUCGGAUAAGAUAACAGGGACCAAGACAAGUCAUCAUGACCUUAAUAUUG
This 812-nucleotide ribosomal RNA is filed under the name Lichenostigma alpinum. RNAcentral describes it as "mitochondrial SSU rRNA". It matches the Rfam family "Bacterial small subunit ribosomal RNA", at positions 370 to 1209 of the family's 1533-position model. Lineage: Eukaryota; Fungi; Ascomycota; Arthoniomycetes; Lichenostigmatales; Phaeococcomycetaceae. The record is from RNAcentral.